UGAAAACUUUAGGGGUGCCUGAUUGGCUGAGAUUAUACCCUUUGAACUUGAACCAGGUAAUGCUGGCGAAAGAAAAAGUAUGACUAUCUAU
Molecule: non-coding RNA, 91 nt
Filed under: Belliella pelovolcani
Lineage: Bacteria; Pseudomonadati; Bacteroidota; Cytophagia; Cytophagales; Cyclobacteriaceae
Description: TPP sequence
Rfam family: TPP riboswitch aptamer (THI element)
About the family: Vitamin B(1) in its active form thiamin pyrophosphate (TPP) is an essential coenzyme that is synthesised by coupling of pyrimidine and thiazole moieties in bacteria. The previously detected thiamin-regulatory element, thi box was extended, resulting in a new, highly conserved RNA secondary structure, the THI element, which is widely distributed in eubacteria and also occurs in some archaea.
Source: RNAcentral